This 810-nucleotide ribosomal RNA is filed under the name Eimeria sp. RNAcentral describes it as "SSU rRNA". It matches the Rfam family "Eukaryotic small subunit ribosomal RNA", at positions 203 to 1014 of the family's 1831-position model. Lineage: Eukaryota; Apicomplexa; Conoidasida; Eucoccidiorida; Eimeriidae. The record is from RNAcentral.
GAUUACUCAAGAUCAACCAACCCACUUUGUGGAGUCCUGGUGAUUCAUAGUAACCGAACGGAUCGCAAUUGGCUUCGGCCCGCGAUAGAUCUUUCAAGUUUCUGACCUAUCAGCUUUCGACGGUAGGGUAUUGGCCUACCGUGGCAGUGACGGGUAACGGGGAAUUAGGGUUCGAUUCCGGAGAGGGAGCCUGAGAAACGGCUACCACAUCUAAGGAAGGCAGCAGGCGCGCAAAUUACCCAAUGAAAACAGUUUCGAGGUAGUGACGAGAAAUAACAAUACAGGGCAUUUUAUGCUCUGUAAUUGGAAUGAUGGGAAUGUAAAACCCUUCCAGAGUAACAAUUGGAGGGCAAGUCUGGUGCCAGCAGCCGCGGUAAUUCCAGCUCCAAUAGUGUAUAUUAGAGUUGUUGCAGUUAAAAAGCUCGUAGUUGGAUUUCUGCUGUGGUCAUCCGGUACCGCCCGUACGGGUGCGCACCUGGUUUGGCUGCGGCUUUCUUCCUGUAGCCGUCCGCGCUUAAUUGCGUGUGGUGUGUUGCGGAACUUUUACUUUGAGAAAAAUAGAGUGUUUCAAGCAGGCUUGUCGCCCUGAAUACUUCAGCAUGGAAUAAUAGGAUAGGACCUUGGUUCUAUUUUGUUGGUUUCUAGGACCAAGGUAAUGAUUAAUAGGGACAGUUGGGGGCAUUCGUAUUUAACUGUCAGAGGUGAAAUUCUUAGAUUUGUUAAAGACGAACUACUGCGAAAGCAUUUGCCAAGGAUGUUUUCAUUAAUCAAGAACGACAGUAGGGGUGUAAAAAAAAAAAAAAUUAAAAA